UGGGGAAUAUUGCACAAUGGGCGCAAGCCUGAUGCAGCCAUGCCGCGUGUAUGAAGAAGGCCUUCGGGUUGUAAAGUACUUUCAGCGGGGAGGAAGGCGAUAAGGUUAAUAACCUUGUCGAUUGACGUUACCCGCAGAAGAAGCACCGGCUAACUCCGUGCCAGCAGCCGCGAUAAUACGGAGGGUGCAAGCGUUAAUCGGAAUUACUGGGCGUAAAGCGCACGCAGGCGGUCUGUCAAGUCGGAUGUGAAAUCCCCGGGCUCAACCUGGGAACUGCAUUCGAAACUGGCAGGCUAGAGUCUUGUAGAGGGGGGUAGAAUUCCAGGUGUAGCGGUGAAAUGCGUAGAGAUCUGGAGGAAUACCGGUGGCGAAGGCGGCCCCCUGGACAAAGACUGACGCUCAGGUGCGAAGGCGUGGGGAGCAAACA
Molecule: ribosomal RNA, 427 nt
Filed under: uncultured bacterium
Lineage: Bacteria
Description: partial 16S ribosomal RNA
Rfam family: Bacterial small subunit ribosomal RNA
Source: RNAcentral